AUGAUUCGUGGGACGUCCUGCCGGUGGUGGCGAGUCGAAGGCGUGCUCCCGUUGUGGUUUCCACUUCGGUUCUUGUGCGCCCGAGGCGGACCCCGAUGAAAUCCUACCGCGGUGCUCUUCACCGAGUGUCGAGGUGGGCCGGCAGGUUUACUUUGAACAAAUUAGAGUGCUUAAAGCAGGCCUGUUGCGCCUGAAUACUGUGUGCAUGGAAUAAUGGAAUAGGACCUCGGUUCUAUUUUGUUGGUUUUCGGAACCCGAGGUAAUGAUUAAUAGGGACAGGCGGGGGCAUUCGUAUUGCGACGUUAGAGGUGAAAUUCUUGGAUCGUCGCAAGACGGACCGAAGCGAAGCAUUUGCCAAGUAUGUUUUCAUUAAUCAAGAAGAAAGUUAUAGGUUCGAAGGCAAUCAGUACCGCCCUAGUUCUAACCAUAAACGAUGCCAGCUAGCGAUCCGCCGAAGUUCCUCCGAUGACUCGGCGGCAGCUCCCGGGAAACAAGCUUUUGGUUCCGGGGAGUAUGGUUGCAAGCUGAACUUAAGGAAUUGACGAAGGC
This 549-nucleotide ribosomal RNA is filed under the name Andreiniimon nuptialis. RNAcentral's name for it is "SSU rRNA". It matches the Rfam family "Eukaryotic small subunit ribosomal RNA", at positions 642 to 1163 of the family's 1831-position model. The record is from RNAcentral. Lineage: Eukaryota; Metazoa; Arthropoda; Insecta; Orthoptera; Tettigoniidae.